This 244-nucleotide ribosomal RNA is filed under the name uncultured bacterium. RNAcentral describes it as "partial 16S ribosomal RNA". It matches the Rfam family "Bacterial small subunit ribosomal RNA", at positions 524 to 763 of the family's 1533-position model. The record is from RNAcentral.
UACGUAGGGUGCGAGCGUUUAAUCGGAAUUACUGGGCGUAAAGCGUGCGCAGGCGGUUUUGUAAGUCUGUCGACUGAAAUCCCCGGGCUUAACCUGGGAAUUGCGAUGGAGACUGCAAGGCUAGAAUCUGGCAGAGGGGGGUAGAAUUCCACGUGUAGCAGUGAAAUGCGUAGGGAUGUGGAGGAACGACCGAUGGCGAAGGCAGCCCCCUGGGUCAAGAUUGACGCUCAUGCACGAAAGGCGU